Molecule: ribosomal RNA, 525 nt
Filed under: uncultured Enterobacter sp.
Lineage: Bacteria; Pseudomonadati; Pseudomonadota; Gammaproteobacteria; Enterobacterales; Enterobacteriaceae
Description: bacterial SSU rRNA
Rfam family: Bacterial small subunit ribosomal RNA
Source: RNAcentral
GAGUUUGAUCCUGGCUCAGAUUGAACGCUGGCGGCAGGCCUAACACAUGCAAGUCGAGCGGUAGCACAGAGAGCUUGCUCUCGGGUGACGAGCGGCGGACGGGUGAGUAAUGUCUGGGAAACUGCCUGAUGGAGGGGGAUAACUACUGGAAACGGUAGCUAAUACCGCAUAACGUCGCAAGACCAAAGUGGGGGACCUUCGGGCCUCAUGCCAUCAGAUGUGCCCAGAUGGGAUUAGCUAGUAGGUGGGGUAAUGGCUCACCUAGGCGACGAUCCCUAGCUGGUCUGAGAGGAUGACCAGCCACACUGGAACUGAGACACGGUCCAGACUCCUACGGGAGGCAGCAGUGGGGAAUAUUGCACAAUGGGCGCAAGCCUGAUGCAGCCAUGCCGCGUGUAUGAAGAAGGCCUUCGGGUUGUAAAGUACUUUCAGCGAGGAGGAAGGCAUUAAGGUUAAUAACCUUGGUGAUUGACGUUACUCGCAGAAGAAGCACCGGCUAACUCCGUGCCAGCAGCCGCGGUAAUA